AGUGAACGCUGGCGGUAGGCCUAACACAUGCAAGUCGAGCGGCAGCACAGUAAGAGCUUGCUCUUACGGGUGGCGAGUGGCGGACGGGUGAGGAAUACAUCGGAAUCUACUUUUUCGUGGGGGAUAACGUAGGGAAACUUACGCUAAUACCGCAUACGACCUACGGGUGAAAGCAGGGGAUCUUCGGACCUUGCGCGAUUGAAUGAGCCGAUGUCGGAUUAGCUAGUUGGCGGGGUAAAGGCCCACCAAGGCGACGAUCCGUAGCUGGUCUGAGAGGAUGAUCAGCCACACUGGAACUGAGACACGGUCCAGACUCCUACGGGAGGCAGCAGUGGGGAAUAUUGGACAAUGGGCGCAAGCCUGAUCCAGCCAUACCGCGUGGGUGAAGAAGGCCUUCGGGUUGUAAAGCCCUUUUGUUGGGAAAGAAAAGCAGCAGGUUAAUACCCCGCUGUUCUGACGGUACCCAAAGAAUAAGCACCGGCUAACUUCGCG
Molecule: ribosomal RNA, 492 nt
Filed under: uncultured bacterium
Lineage: Bacteria
Description: partial 16S ribosomal RNA
Rfam family: Bacterial small subunit ribosomal RNA
Source: RNAcentral